Phalacrocorax carbo (great cormorant) is the source of this 5266-nucleotide non-coding RNA. The record is from RefSeq and is a predicted model, not a curated record. Lineage: Eukaryota; Metazoa; Chordata; Aves; Suliformes; Phalacrocoracidae.
UUCCCGGGUCACGGGCCGCCGCCGUGCGCGGGCGAGGAGGGAAGCGCGCUGCGAGGGGAGGAAAGGGAGGGGAAAGGGGCUGAGCAGCGCUUAGCCGAGCCGAGCCGAGCCGAGCCGAGCUUAGCCAAACCGAGCCGGGCCGGGCCGCGCUCCCCGCGCUGCGCCACAGCCCGCCGCCGCCGCGCUCGCAGCCUGUCAGCCCGCCCGGCGCGGCCCGCGCCCCGCCCCGCCCCGCCCCCGCGCGGCGGGACGCUCCAACAUGGAGGCGGGGAGCGGGCAGCGCCCGGGCCCCGCUGCGCGGGGUGAGGAGAUACAAACAUCUUGUCUGACGAAAGCAUGUUUUGUGAGGCUUGACAAAUGUGAUGUUCACCUUGAGCCGACGUGUUAUAGAUGUUUUAAGUGUUGGCUGCAUGAGCUAAAUCCCAAAUAAUCCCAUGGAACACGUGAGUGGAUUCAUCUCCAUGUUGCAGAUUCCAGUUUUUCUCUUCCAACUCUUUUGACUGAGUUCAACCAGAAUUUCAUUUUGCUGAACUGGCCUGAUUUGGGAUGCAAACCAACCUCUGAAAGACUGAAAUUUCCUGUGGGAUCAUAAAUUUUCUGAAUUUUGUUCAUCUCUAGUUACUCCUCGUGCAGAAAAGGCCUAAAGCAAACAAACAGCCAGUCUCCUACUGCAGAUAGAAAAGCCUCCUGUCCCAUCGCUGAGCUCAGCUUCACUGUACCUUGCAAAUUCCCUGAUGGGUCUGCUCCUGCUCCCAGUGAAAACACUUGACACUAGCUCAACUGAGAACAGACAUGGAUUUGUAAAGCAAAACCAAGGACAGAAAGCAUCCUGGCACCGGGAAGGAAUCUGUCCUCCACACACCACAGAUGCCCACAGGUGACCAACGACAAGGUGCAUCGUGUAAAACUCCCCUCUGAAACAUCCGCUAUCAAUGACUGCUGGUACCAUUUUUCAGCCAAAAUGUUGAGUAGCUGCUAAUUACAAGAUGACAAGUGAGCGGCUCGUAAUUGUGUUGUUGAUUAUUUUUGGGAAGCCCCGUGUCACUGUGGUGACAGCCUAGAAGGAGAGAGCAUGCAAUGUUAGGUGCUUUUGGGAACUUUAAUUUAUAGAAACGUGCUGUGUUCCCAGCUCCCAUGGCAUCAGCUGCGAGGGCUGCUGCCUUCCAGCUGCGACGCUGAGCCAGUGGAGCUGCACAAAAUUAAUACAAGCAACGAUAGGGAAAAGGGAGAGCAGUCCCCUGGGCCUGGGUGACCGACGGUGACAGUGGGUGGAUGUCUUCUCUGUCAAGAUGGAGGUUUGCAAAAUAUCCAACUUGUCUGGGUUGCUUUAACCUAUUUCUUUUGGGUGUUCCCAGGAAAAUUGGAGCUCUAGACAUGUUGGGAUGGCAGGAACUCAGAGAGGUUCCCCCUUCCCAAGGUCUUGUCCUUUGACAGAUCAUCAAGCGGGAAUCUCUUUGCAAGUUACCAUGGGUGGGAGUCAGCAUGCAGAGUAAGGCCUAAAUUUUGGUGCUUUGGUGUAGAUGCCUUCAUGUGAGCCAGGUGCCUAAGCCUCCAUCUACGGGAGGAACUCAGCUGCCUGAACCUGGUGCCUGUAAAUGCAUCAUGGGUCUUGGACCUUUGGCUUGGACUAGAGGGUCUGGACAGCAGUGAAAGACACUUGGUGCAAAGCAAACCUGAGCGGCAGGGCUGGAACCGUGCUGGUUUCUGCCAAAAUGGUGAGGAACGGCAGCAUCUCUCUCCCUCUCUCUCCCUUUCAAGUACCCAUGGCUUUUCUCUUGUGUUAACUGUCAUCCUCCUCCUGUUUCUGUAAACACUGUAAUUCAAAAAUAGAAAAAGGAGAACGAAACAAAACAACUGCUUAAAAAGCCCUGUGAAAAAAGGGGAACCUAAGAUAUAAUUAUGCCUCUUGGAUGAUAUUUUCCCCUGAUAAUACUGGAAAAAUACUAAGCACGUUCAUGUGAUGUUCUAGUGUGCAAGGAUCUGCAGCAUGUCUCCCUCCUGCUUGCUCUCCCCCUUCCUCUCUCUCUUGCUCUCUGUUUCAGGAACUGACAGCAUUUAAUGUUGAUGUACCUAGAGGCAGCUCAGAUGUGAUCCUGCAGCACUGCCAUGCUCUGAUUUAAGGAUCAGUCCAUAAAACCCACUGAACACACAGUCACAGCAUUUGACCCCAGAAAAAAAUUUAGAUUUUCAACCCUCUUUCCACCAUCCUUUGGGUUUCCGGCUCAUUUCUGGGUGCCUUUGAAGGAACAGGGAAACUAAAGAGAUUGUGAUGUUGAGCCAUCCCCGCUCCCAUCACAGCCCCGUUUCCCCAUGAAAGCAGGCAAGUGCUAGGAGCUCGCCGAGCAAGACAGGAGCACUUCUGCGGGCUGGUGGCUGGAUGCAAGCGGUGGCAGUGAUGCACCAAACCGGGGGUUGAAUUUGGGGGACAGGGCACCGUGGUUUAAGUGAGGUCUAAGUGAACGUAAGGCUUUUGCACCUCAGCAGCACGCGGGCCAACAAAUAAUCCCCUCCCAGCUACUUUCGCUCCUGCUCUCGUUGGCUGGCCGAUCAAGCCCCGCUGAUAAUUGCGCUGUCAAAGCUCUGCAGGAAAUUCCCGCUGCCUUCGUAUGGAGGCUUCUCCUGACACACUCCUGGGGUUAGAGGAUCCCAGGCUUAAUUUAUUCACUGUUUUCAGACUCAGGUCCAAAUAAGGACUAUGCUUUCUCUUUCACCUCUCCCCUGAGGUCUGCAGUUGCUGAAAUCCAAACCCUGCAGCAGAUCACCGUGUUUUGCACUAAUUUAACAUGAAGCUUCAGGUGCUUAAACAUUUCUGCAGUCUUUGAGCACAAAAGUGGCCUUUUUUCCUUUGCCUCCUCCCCCUGUGUUAAUCAAACACUGUGUGUGUCCCUCCCCCCCCAAAAAAAACCCCCAAACCAAACCCAAAAAUAGAGGAAAGACCUAUGUUACUUAUUUCUUUGACACAUUUCAUGUUUUUAAGUGCAGUUUUCUCCACCAGGUUGCAGGAAGGCUCACUGCUGGGCAUGGUCCUCAGCAGGCUCUUGAAAAACCAAGGUGGAUUUAAUGCUGGUGAGAAAAUCUGAAAGCAGAUCUGUGUCCCAAAGCCCAGAGUUUGAGUGUCGGAUGUUUGCACAUCUCAGCACUGGGGACCUGAUCACGGCUCUGAUGAUCCCCUGUGGAGUGAGGCCUUGGCAAAGCAGGCUCAAGUCCUCCACAUGGGGUAGAUGGCCCCAUAAGCUUGUAGCGUGUUUAUAAAGCUUUAUUCUUUUUAAAACUGAAGACUCCCACCUAGACUGGCACUUCUUAAAUAGUUGUGGGUUUUUUUGAUAACUCUUAACUUGUCAGAUAAAGAGACAAAGAAAAAGCAGCCCUUUCACCAAAUAAGGUGUAGUUCAGUGAAAAGUUAAACCUGAAAAAAGUGGAGACACCAAUAAAAAAACCCCGAAAAUUAAUGUUUUCAUCUUUUUAAAAUUAUUUUUUAACUUGUUGUUUUGAAAAGGUGCUUAAAAUCAACCAAAGAUUCUUCUUCCCAGCUGCAUAGGUGUCGUCCUAAAUUCAACCUCCCAUGAAAAUUCAAGCUGCCUUGUCCUCAUCGGGGUUUUAAAUUGAAUUAGUUAACCCAAUUAGGAAUGCUUUUUGCUUUUCUGUGUUUGGUAGCGACUGAUAAGCCUGCAGCCGCAGAGAAGCAUGGGUUUGAUUCAAGCUGCUGCCUGGACCUGCACGUGGAAUUGGUUAACCAUGUGCAGGAGAGCUUUCCUGAGCCAGACCCAUAUUUCCUGCAUAAAUGAUACUUGUGACAAAUACCUGGUGUCAUUGAUAUUCUAUUAGUUUCCUUCACUGAAAGAUCAGACAGCUUUAAAAAGCCAAUAAAUUCCCACAGAUUGUCUCUGAAAGGGAGAAAAAAAGAUUCCUUGGCAGGCCACACACCAUUAAGCCCAAGAAGUGAGCAGUGGUUUAUGGUUAGCAGAGCUGAGGUCACUACUUUUGGACAGGUGCAAUUAAGAUUCACUGAAGCAACCAAAACCCACUACUUCUUCGGGUGCUGGGGCAAAGACACCUUGUUCAGACAGCAGCAGCCUCAGCUCAGAGCGACUUUCUGUACUGCUGCAAUUCCCAGCCAUGCUGGUCCUGGAAGCAUACCCCAGUGUUUAGAGACAGAAGCCAGCAUGAAUCCCACUUUAAAAAAAAAAAAAAAAAGCUUUAUGAAGAUCCAGGGCUAUUUCUCUGAAGCCAGAGCAUCUGCUUGCCUUGUAGACUAGAGGCCAUAUGUAUGAACCCAUUUUUUUUGUCUUGGAGCGUUGUUAACCUUCUGCAGCUGACAACAUGCCCACCUUGUGGUCACCACAUCUCUGUCGCUCAAGGAAAGGUCUCAAGCCACGUGGCUUGCUUUUUUUUUUUUUACACAGGGGAUCAGUAUUUGUGGUAAGAAAUUGCAGCAGCUCCCUCAUUUCCCGUUGUGCUCGGGAGAUCUGGCUGCUGGCAGUUUUCAGGUGCCAUUUCCUGAUGCUUGGGUGUCCUUGCAUCCAUCUAUCUGUUGAAAUGAUUUCCCCAGAGCUUGCUGUAGCUGUAAUCCUUCAGCAAGUCCUUUGUUCCCACUGUUCUGCUUAUGCCUGAGAAAUUAUGUUAUUCAUGCCCAGAUAUAUCUUUCAGCCAUUUGGACCCAGAUUUUGAAUUUCAAGAAGCCGCAGUUUUUUGGGUUUGUUUUUUAUAUUUUUUUAAAUAUCUCUGGGUACAGGUAAAACAGAUCUUUUUAGCUAAAUACAAGAAUAAAUGAAUAUGCAGAUUUUUUUUUCUGAAGGUCUCGAGCACAAAUGCUAGCUUUGAUGAAUGACUCAUUCCCUUUGUUAUAGUAGCAUUGUUGAAGCUCUGGUGUUUUCAGGCUAUGAGCAAGGCAAGGUUGGGAGGAGGAGUUAUUGUCUUUUAUUAGACUAGAUGAUACAGUUGGAAAAAAUCAGGCAAGAUUUCAGGCAUGCAAUCCUUUUCUUCAGGUUUGGAGCUGCUUCUGCUGUCUUUGAGCUGACUACGAGAACAGCCAUUGCAAUAUUUGACUGAGUUUAGCCAAAGUCAGCACAGUUGUCCUCAGUUUUUCUUUCUAACCUGGAGAAAGAGCCCUGGAGCUCUCUGUCAGCAUCACCCUAAAUUCAGCCUCAUGCUAAAACUCCGUAUCAUUUCAUCCAUUAAAUGAUAGCAGCCCCUUUGAACAUAUUUGCCCACAGGUCUGUUUAGCUUCCAGUUGCUCUUUUAUACCUGAUAAAUAAAAGCAGUUGGA